RNAcentral lists this small RNA (123 nucleotides) under Salmonella enterica subsp. enterica serovar Derby. RNAcentral's name for it is "partial RtT sRNA". It matches the Rfam family "RtT RNA". From Rfam's summary of the family: This family represents a bacterial cis-regulatory element known as RtT RNA. The exact function of RtT is unknown although it is thought that it may be involved in changing the cellular response in relation to amino acid starvation. The record is from RNAcentral. Lineage: Bacteria; Pseudomonadati; Pseudomonadota; Gammaproteobacteria; Enterobacterales; Enterobacteriaceae.
GUUUGCACUUGUCGGGGAAGGGUGAGAACCUUCGAUUAAGGUUCGACUCGAGCGAAAGCGAGAGAAUGUUGCCAACGGCAACGGCCCGUAGGGUGAGGAGCGAAGCGACGAAUAAUCCUUCCC